RNAcentral lists this ribosomal RNA (307 nucleotides) under uncultured bacterium. RNAcentral describes it as "partial 16S ribosomal RNA". It matches the Rfam family "Bacterial small subunit ribosomal RNA", at positions 356 to 655 of the family's 1533-position model. The record is from RNAcentral.
AGGGAAUCUUCGGCAAUGGGGGGAACCCUGACCGAGCAACGCCGCGUGAGUGAAGAAGGUUUUCGGAUCGUAAAGCUCUGUUGUAAGAGAAGAACGUGUGUGAGAGUGGAAAGUUCACACAGUGACGGUAACUUACCAGAAAGGGACGGCUAACUACGUGCCAGCAGCCGCGGUAAUACGUAGGUCCCGAGCGUUGUCCGGAUUUAUUGGGCGUAAAGCGAGCGCAGGCGGUUUGAUAAGUCUGAAGUAAAAGGCUGUGGCUUAACCAUAGUAUGCUUUGGAAACUGUCAAACUUGAGUGCAGAAGG